GGCUUGAUAGUUCAGUUGGUAGAGCACUGCUCCGAUAUCGCAGAGGUCAUAGGUUCGAAUCCGGUUCAGGCCU
Non-coding RNA from Orbicella faveolata, 73 nucleotides. NCBI's taxonomy places the organism in Eukaryota, Metazoa, Cnidaria, Anthozoa, Scleractinia, Merulinidae. The record is from the annotation of a RefSeq genome assembly.